Molecule: ribosomal RNA, 440 nt
Filed under: uncultured bacterium
Lineage: Bacteria
Description: partial 16S ribosomal RNA
Rfam family: Bacterial small subunit ribosomal RNA
Source: RNAcentral
CCUACGGGGGGCAGCAGUGGGGGAUCUUGCACAAUGGGGGGAACCCUGAUGCAGCGACGCCGCGUGGGUGAAGAAGCGCCUCGGCGCGUAAAGCCCUGUCAGCAGGGAAGAAAAUGACGGUACCUGACGAAGAAGCCCCGGCUAACUACGUGCCAGCAGCCGCGGUAAUACGUAGGGGGCAAGCGUUAUCCGGAUUUACUGGGUGUAAAGGGGGCGCAGACGGCGAUGCAAGCCAGGAGUGAAAGCCCGGGGCCCAACCCCGGGACUGCUCUUGGAACUGCGUGGCUGGAGUGCAGGAGGGGAAGGCGGAAUUCCUGGUGUAGCGGUGAAAUGCGUAGAUAUCAGGAGGAACACCGGUGGCGAAGGCGGCCUGCUGGACUGCAACUGACGUUGAGGCCCGAAAGCGUGGGGAGCAAACAGGAUUAGAUACCCCUGUAGUC